CUAAGAGUUGCUUCCUACGGGUGGCAGCAGUAGGGAAUCUUCCACAAUGGACGCAAGUCUGAUGGAGCAACGCCGCGUGAGUGAAGAAGGUUUUCGGAUCGUAAAGCUCUGUUGUUGGUGAAGAAGGAUAGAGGUAGUAACUGUCCUUUAUUUGACGGUAAUCAACCAGAAAGUCACGGCUAACUACGUGCCAGCAGCCGCGGUAAUACGUAGGUGGCAAGCGUUGUCCGGAUUUAUUGGGCGUAAAGCGAGCGCAGGCGGAAGAAUAAGUCUGAUGUGAAAGCCCUCGGCUUAACCGAGGAACUGCAUCGGAAACUGUUUUUCUUGAGUGCAGAAGAGGAGAGUGGAACUCCAUGUGUAGCGGUGGAAUGCGUAGAUAUAUGGAAGAACACCAGUGGCGAAGGCGGCUCUCUGGUCUGCAACUGACGAUGAGGCUCGAAAGCAUGGGUAGCGAACAGGAUUAGAUACCCUUGUAGUCAAGCAACUCUACG
This 491-nucleotide ribosomal RNA is filed under the name Helicobacter pylori. RNAcentral describes it as "bacterial SSU rRNA". It matches the Rfam family "Bacterial small subunit ribosomal RNA", at positions 325 to 808 of the family's 1533-position model. Lineage: Bacteria; Pseudomonadati; Campylobacterota; Epsilonproteobacteria; Campylobacterales; Helicobacteraceae. The record is from RNAcentral.